RNAcentral lists this small nuclear RNA (99 nucleotides) under Cavia aperea (Brazilian guinea pig). The record is from RNAcentral. Lineage: Eukaryota; Metazoa; Chordata; Mammalia; Rodentia; Caviidae.
GUGCUCGCUUCAGCAGCACAUGUACUAAAAUUGGAGUGACACAGAGAAGAUUAGCGUGGCCCCUGCACAAGGAUGACACGCAGUUCAUUCUAUUUUAUU